CUGAGAAACUAAGACAUGACACUAAUAUUCUUAAGAGCACUCUACAGCAAAAGCCAGACUCAAUGAAACCUCUGAGAAAAUGCAGAAGAGUGCUGAGGACCUCUAAAGAGGACCCCAAAGAAGUGUUGAUGGAUACCAGUGACCUUGCAGCAUUACAAAGCAAAAGCAACCUUUACCUGUCCCCCCCCAGGAAGUCUGCAAGAGAUGGAAGGAUUUUGAAAACCAGGACUUUGUGCUCUGUAACCCCAAAGCAGGAAGCAACAGGUGAGAAGCCUGUACAUAAGAAACAAAGGGCAGCUUCUACCAAGAGGCAGGUGUCACCUGAGCCGGUGAAGGUGAAACACCUGAGAAGUGUGUCACAUAAACGUGAAUCUGUGGAGGAGCACAUUAGCACCAUUAUGCAAAUAGAAGAAAUGGAAGCCAAAAGAGAGAACCCUGUCACUCCAGAUCAGGUGAUGUGGGGAAUAUAGUGGGUGCUUGUCGGGAAGGGUGUGUUUGCUGAGGGUAUUUGUGUAUAUUGCUAGGAGUUUGUGCACAUAUAACUAUUCAUCUCCUUAAGUUUUAUUUUUCACCAUUAAUAGGCUGUAGCCAGUGAUCCUUAGGGAUCUGUGCAAGGAAUAGACUAACUCCUAAAUGUUUUCCUCUCUAAACUAAAUGUAUCUUUGGUUUGAAGAAUGUGUCAGGGAACAGGUGGUCAGUGUAGCUCUGUGUAUGUGACAGUAUUAAGGACAUAGGUUAUAU
Molecule: long non-coding RNA, 741 nt
Filed under: Rattus norvegicus (Norway rat)
Lineage: Eukaryota; Metazoa; Chordata; Mammalia; Rodentia; Muridae
Description: long non-coding RNA NONRATT003291
Source: RNAcentral